Molecule: non-coding RNA, 29 nt
Filed under: Mus musculus (house mouse)
Lineage: Eukaryota; Metazoa; Chordata; Mammalia; Rodentia; Muridae
Source: RNAcentral
UGGCUCAGUCCAUAAUGUGCUUUCCGUGA